This 13430-nucleotide long non-coding RNA is filed under the name Citrus x clementina. Its description in RNAcentral is "Citrus clementina (C. clementina) long non-coding RNA (CCLE_LNC003576)". Lineage: Eukaryota; Viridiplantae; Streptophyta; Magnoliopsida; Sapindales; Rutaceae. The record is from RNAcentral.
UGUUUAUUUAUUUAUCAAUCAUUGGAGGAAUUUAUGAAUCAGGGGAACUCGUCUGUUGGAUUUUUUUAAGUACUGUGAAGAAUUAGUUGAUUUUUUACCAUAUUUUGGAAAUUUAUUUUGUUUUUGAGAUGAGGAAUAAAUUGAUACCAUCUCUACUGACCUUUGAUAUGAAAACUACUCGAGCGCAUGAUGUAUAUCUGUUUUUGUUCAUUUCUGUAUCUUGCUGCUGACUGAAGCUGGAUUUUCAGGCUCGUUAUUAUCAUUUAUUCUUUUGAAGUUGCAAAAUGAAUUCUCAAUAUUUUCAGGGGAAAUGCUUAUAAUUAGCGCGGAGUUAAACAUUGAUUGUGUACUGUAGACUUCCAAAAGGCAAUUUAUUUCCAUUUAUUUGAGUAAACUAAAUCUCCGUGAUGGUAGCACUUAUUUAAUCACUUAUUAAAAAAUUCUUUGAAAAUUUGAUGAUUGUUGUUGAAAACAUUUACUAAUUGUAAAUGCGUUAAAUUACCCUUCCUUCUUCGUUUGCCGUCGUCACGAUGACCGGAAAAGGUACCCACCCCACUCCCUCUUUUGAUCAUCAUUUCGCAUACACUUUUCUUAAAUUUAAUUUUUUUUUAAAUUUUUUUCUCAUGUACCCUUGUGAUUCUUUUGCAUUCUUUAUUGGAUGUUAUUAAUUAUUAUUAAAAAAUUCUAAAAAAUAAAUAAAAAUCACGGCAGCUAGGAGUUGAAUGAAACUAUGGACUCUUUUUGAUAUUGUGGGAUUUGUGUCUGGGUGUGAGUGCACACAUUUUGAUCGGUAGCUAACUAAUGGAUGUCAUUUUUCCAUGUAUCAAUUUUCAGUUCAUAAUUUGUGUCUGAGUGUGAGUGCACAAAUUUUGAUCUGUAACUAAUUAAUGGAUAUCAUUGUUUAAAAUGUGAAAAAUUUAGUUUAUUCUAUGCUAGUUUUUCAUAACAUGAGUUGGACUGAGCUCAGUCAGUUGAUGCUCCAUGUUUUUGAUUCAUUGAAGGUACUAUGAAUUGGGACCUGAUGAUCCGCCAUAUGCUGCCAAGUUUUACGACUGCUGCGGGGCCGAGGAUGCUGAUGCCUCUGGUUGUACCACUGGCUUCCAUGUCUCUUAUGAUGAUGAUUAACAUAAUUUUUACCUCCUAAUCACCUGUAACUAUAGAUUAAAUUUGUAGAUAUCUCCGUGUCUCCUCCUGUGACCCACAUCAUUUCCACUGUUCUACCACUGUAUAAUUCAGGCCUUUCAUCAGUUUAUCUCUUCAUUUCUCAACAUUUUUCUUUUUUUUUUUUUCCUGGGGUUGAUCUGGCAUGAAUUCGACAUGUGCUGCUAUGGCCAACUUUCGAGGGAUGAUGGUAAAUCUAAACCCUUUUCCAUAAACUUCUGCAAUUAGUUGGUCUAGGGCAUUUGAAGAGCUUAUACUGGAAGCCAUUGCCUUCCCACAUCUUAAGUAAAGAGUAAUGCUACUUUGACAGAAAUAGGUUUACAAAAUUUUGACAUACUUAUGAAAUACUAAAUUACCUUUUAGUUUAUUUACAGAUAGCGAAUUGGGCUUUUUACAUAUUUUUGUAAGAAUCAACCUAAACUUAUAUUCAGGAAAGAAAUAACUGCAGAGGAGAAAAAAGUAAUGAGGCGAUAGAAAAUUAUGCCAAAAUUAAUAGUAAGGCAUUUGAGAUUGCAGUAGAACUUCUCAAUAAUCAUAUUAUUAGGAUCAAUUGAUUUUGUUACUAUAAGGAGGUUAAAACUUUGUAGAGGUUUAGUUCAAAAUUACUAUCUUGACUUCAUUAUUCUUAGUGUAAGUAAGAUAAUUAAUAAAUAAUUAAUGAAGUGUGUCAAUUCUAUGAAGCUUCAAACAUGCUUGAAUACUUAAAAAUAUUUUGUCUUCAACAAGAAGGUGUGUAUAUUAUUGAAUUAUUUUUGCAAUAUACAAAUAAUUAUUAUUAUGUGGAGGCAAUUUCAAAGAUGUGAUAACAAUUUUAAAGAAUAAAUCAUUGUCUCAAACAAUUUUAAAAAAUAUUUUUUUCUAUACUAAAUCUUUUAAAGUAACAAAUAUGUUUUGCAAUACACAUAUAAUUAUUAUUAUGUGGAGAUAAGUUACUAAAGUCAGAAUCUAAAACACUUAUUACAAUUAGAGUUAAUUCUUAUUUAUAAUUUACUUAAAUUAAAGUUAAAAUUUUUUUAUCACUAUAAAAGAGUUAUUUCUAUAUAGAUAAUCACUAUAAAUAUAGAGUAUCACUAUAAAAAAGUUUUACGAUCAAUCAUCCGUCAUAAUAAGCACAAGAAUGACAAGUUUUGAUUCUCAAAUAAAUUCUUAUAAAACACAACCAUGGAUUAAGAUUGUCGGGAAAUGGGAAUGCAAUACAAAGUAAUUAAUGACACAGUCUCAGUGUUUCACUUACACGUGAAGCAAACGAAACAAGAAGAAUCUUAAGAAAAAAACACUCACCAGAACGCAAGGUUCAAUCCCGGUUUACUACGUCAACCUCCAUUCCUCAAAGAGAUUGGAAACACGUCAACCUUCAUCUCCACCAGUAUUCACCUCCACGAAUAAGAAUUCUGCGCCCAUUUGCACUAUUUGAAUCGAGUGGAAGCUUUUUAAGCGAAUCGCAAACCCAAACUUGCAAUACUUUCAGACGUGGGAGAGGCAAGGGCUUCCAGUAAAUGCUCUUCAAACGGACCAGUCCUCCUAACUCAAGACGCUGGAGUUUUGCAAAAGGGCUGUUUAUUAUUCCCGUCAUCUCAGGAAUGUCAUCAAACUCUCCAGCACUGAUUAUUUCUUCCAUGUCAUCGCAAUAGCUUACGGAAAUAGACUUGAGGUUUGGAGCAAAAACGAGGAAUGUCAAGUGUUUCAAAUUUCUGCAAAAGCGUACGGUAACUUUCUCAAGGCUGCGGAAAACAUAAGGUUGGCGCGAUUUUUGUACCAUAUCAUUGCAGUCAAUCUUCAGUCCCUUAAUACAACCACAACUAAAAAAGUCUAAUGUAUUGAGCUGCUCUAGAUCGGCUAAAUCUGCAACAUCGAUCGACUCCUCCCUAUCGAAGCGAUGGAGCAAGAGAGCUUGAGUACAACUUCGUAACUUCUGUGAGCUCAAAAAUGUUUGGUAAGCCUCAAAACUCCUGAAGGAGAUCUCCAGUACCUCUAAAUAUUUCAAACCGAGCAAUUCCUCUGCUACAUUCUCAUGCCAAGAGCUAAGUAAAAAACCAGUAGCAAACAUUCUCAACACACGUAACCUUGAAAAAUUAGAUAACAGUUGCUGUGGAACUACAACUAACUCUUUUGCCCAGACCAAAUUCAAACAUUUAAGAUUUACCAACGCUUUUAACUCUUCGGGUAACUCUGUAACGCUUGUAUUUGAAAUAUCAAGGAGUUGUAGUGAAACCAACUUUGAGAUCCCCAUUGGUAACUGCCGUAGCGUUUCAUUAUCUGACAUCUUCAAAACUGUUAGACAAGACAUAGACUGGAAGAAGCCACCGGUGAUCGUCCUCAACGGAUUACGGUUAAGAAACAAAGUAAGAAGAUGAGGGCAUGUCGGAACAGUUGGUAGAUUAUCAAUUGAAUUUCUCAUCAAUGAUAAUCUUCUCACAAUUUCCCAUCCUCUGACAUCUGCCUCCCUUAAUCCGGAACCUGCAUAAACCAAAAAGCCCUCCUUCUCCUUCUCAAUCUCACAAGUUAUCCACAAUGCCAUAUCGCGGAUGACGUCAUGCAUUUUUACUUGAUCAUCUUCUACCUCUUCCAAUAAACAUGCAUGAACAAGAGUGCCCACGAUAUAGUAUCCUCGGUUUUGUGUGCCAAACUUGUCUUCUUCCAAAAACCCCUCGCACAUCCAGCAAUCAAUCAAGUCUCUUUUAUCUAUGCCGUAAUCUUCCGGAUAUAAACAACAAUAUAAGAAACAAGAUCUGAUUGCAUCGCUUGGCAAGCAAUCAUAGCUGAAUUUUAAAAGAGGAUAUACCUCCUUUCCCAAACCUGUAAAUUCGGAAGCUGAUCUUCUUAAAACUUCAAUCGCAUAUCUCCAUUCUUCAGGAGUCUUUUUGUAGGCCAUGGCUCGACCAAUAGUAAUAAGCGCGAGCGGCAAUCCACCGCACUCCUUUGCCACAGUUUGAGCUAGUUGAGGAAUACUAUGAUGACUCUCAAUAGUUUCUUCCCCAACUUUCUCUCGAAAUAGUUCCCAAGCAUCCUCAUCGGAUAAGCAUGCCACUUUGAACUUCGUUCGAGCUUCCAUACCGCCACAAACAUCAACGAAACGGGUUGUAAAUACUACUGCACUAUUCUUUGGAAGAGGGACACCAAUCUUCUUUAGAUCAACCCGCUCCCAUAGAUCAUCCAACAACAAAGCAAACUUCUUCUUGCUUAAAGUCUUGAAGAUGUCCUGAGCUUUCUCUUCGAGACUUUUGUCCUUCCAUGAAUCAUUAUAUAGACCUAUCUUUUUCCCGAUAGUUUCUUGAAUUUUUUCAAGCUGCAGGUCUUUUGACACCACAACCCAAAUCACAGAAUCAAAAUCUGUUGGAUUAUCAACAAAUUUAUUAUUGAUUUGGGUUAACAGUGUAGUUUUACCGACACCGCCCAUGCCGUAUAGGCCAAUUAUACCAGCUGCAGGUUCUUGUACAAGACAUCUCCAAACUUGUUCAAGUUGUGAUUGCAAGCCUACCACCGUUGGCUCAGUAGGUCUUUCAUCUGCCACAGAUAUUAAUUCUGGAUCUGGCGCGGCCACCUCUUCAAAAACUCCUUCCCCCUUUAAGGCCUUCACAUCUCGCAGCCUUUUAGCAACUUUUCUACCAAACUUGUAGCUUGACUUGCAGUUCCUGGAGCAGUAGCCUCCAAGACACAAUUUGUCAAUUUCCUGAGAGCCACCAUCUCUUCCCAUGAGUUCAUCAACUUCAGUUUUAAGAGUCUCCACCCUCGAAAGCCAAACCUGCACUUGGUUCAGCCUCUUCAUUUUGUGUUGGUGUUCAGCAUUGAGGACCCUCGUCAUCACAUCAUUCUUUGCAGCGAUUAGUUGUUCCAAUUCAGUCGUCAAGGCAACAACAUUAUCUUUGAGGUCAGUUAUAUAUGCCGCUUUGCCAAGAGCGCAGUCUGGGCAACGAUUGAACAUUGCGCCAACAUCGCAAGAGAUUUGCAAAAUGUUACCCAUAAUGGAUCUCACUUGUAUGUAUGAAUUCAACCAAGAGAGAAACAAAGGAAUUUAACUUCACCAGUUUGAUGAACAGAAGCUGCUGUCGCGGAUUAAUUGAGAUAGAACAUUAGUUAUUGAAUAAUGUAAUCAGCUCUGUUUGUACCCAACUCACUAAAAAAAGUAACAAAAAGGAACAUUAGUUAUUGAAUAAUGUCCAAUACGUAUUAGCAAAGUGGGUAAGUUAUAUUUAAUGUAACCUACGGUCAGUCUGUGAAAUUGUAUCUAGUCUCCUAUGUUCUAUGUUAUUUAUAUUUUAUUCAUAAAUAUUAUAAAUAUUUUGAAAUAUAAAAUUCCGUUUAACCCCUUAUACUCAAUUUUAUUUUAUUGAAACCCUAGAGUAUGAAUUCCCCCCAUAAUUUUAAAUUCUCAAAAUAACCUCCAUUUAAUUAAAAAAUAUAAUUAUUUUUAAAUAAAUUAUAAUUAUAAUUAUUAUUUUAUUAUAAUCAUAAAUAUUUUUUAAAAUAGAUUAUUAUUAUUAUUAUUAUUAUUAACAAGAAUAAAAAGCAUUAUAAUUAAUUAAUCUAUUAACAAUAAUUAAUAAUAUUUUUUAUUAAAUUGUUAAUAAUAAUAAUAAUUAAUGAUUAUCUAACUAAUAGGAAAUGUAUUGCUAAUGCUACCUUCGACUUUAAAUACUCAUUAUCGGGUUUCAAGAGACCAAUGAAUGACAAUUUCUGUCAAAAUUUUAAGCUUGACCCAAUAAAAAUAAUUUUACAUUUAAAAAACUAGAAGUAAGAAAAAUGUGUUUACAUCCUCGAAGGUGUAACAACUUAGCAAAAAGCACUUAAAAAUUACCGUUUAAUAAUGAGAUGCCUACGAAACUAUUAUUUAUCAAAGUAACAAAAAAUCCUGAAAGUACUUGAAAUUAAAAAGUAUAGAAAUAUAAAAGAGUCUCCUACAUAAAUAUGGACUCAAUGUUUAUUCCAUUUUAUUAUAAUCAUAAAUAUGUUAAUUAUCAAAAUUUCUGUCAAAAUUUUUGUUUCCUCCUUUCUAUCUUUCAUAUCAGCAUUAUUUUUGUCUUGAUUAUUGAAUAGUUGAAUAUGUAUGUGUGUGGGGGCAUAUAAUAUAUAGUACUUAGAUUUUGUUUAAUUUUCUAUUGUUAACUUGAUUAUUUGUGGCAUUAAUUUAAUAUGAUUUACAUCUUUUUGGUUGUAGUAUUGAUGAGGUUCCUUUAUAUGAUGACCCAAUUUUUUUUUUUUUUUUUUGGUCUUCAUUUGUUUAAUUAUGAGAAAAAUAAAAUAGUAAUAAGAUUGGUCAAUUUGGGUAAACAAUUAAUGAACUAAUGUAGUAUAUCUCAUCUCACUCCCCUAGCAUAUCAUAAAUUUCCAAAAUUUGUCUUCAAUCGAUUAAACAUAAAUUUCAAAAUUCUUUAAAAAAAAAAAAGCCAAUACCGAUCCUUUAAAGUUUAAAACAUCCAAAAAGGAAAAAAAAAAAAAAAUCAUCUAUUAGCAUAUGGUAAAAGCAUAAUUCGACUAAAGUUGGGACAUGGCAUGUGGUAGACAUGUGGAUUGAUUGCUUGUGUUAUUGAAUCGUUGUAUCAUCGACUUCGCAUUAUUAAUAAGCUUUUUAACUUUUAUGAUUUUAUAAUAAACAGUAGGGGUUUAAGUGUUAAUAACCAAUUGAACACAUUUCAACGGUUGAACACUUUAACCCUCGUAUCAAAUGGCUGAACCAGAAAAUGACAAAGUUUGGGGUACCGUGCAACUGUUGCACGGUAGGCGGACCCUAUUGAAUAAUGUAAUCAAGUCAUGGGUAGACGGAUGAAUCCUAUAAAUCUAUAGGCGGACCCUAUAGAUUGAUUAGUCAAGUAAGGGAAAUGGGUCCGUAACUUUCAAGCAAGACUUGACGUCCUGUCCCUUGCCUCCUCACCAUACCAUUAAAGUUUUGAAGUUAGGCCAAUUAGAUUAAAGGUGAGAUGGAAUGGAUUUAUGGAGUCGUUGAUUACUGAACGUAUUUGCCAAUCUAUUGGACGUAUUAAAGUUCUUUCCCUUUCAACAUUAUUGAACGUAUUUUGCAGGGAAACCUCCUCUAUCUUUCUUCCCAUUAACGUCCAAUUAAGACUUUUGUGUAUCCAAUUAAUGUCCAUUAACUUGAAGAUUGAAGAGGGCCAGCGUUAUUUCAAAGUCAAGAUUGGCUUAUUAGCUUGCAGAAUUCUUGAUAUGAGUUAAAAAAAUAAAUAAAUAAGGUUGAAAAGGAUUAGGAUUAGCUUAGUUUUUAUUGAUCAUUGAAUUAAUGGUUAGGAUUUAUUUUAUAUUUUACUUUUUUCAUCUAAUUACCAAUCUAGUGGUCAGCACUGAAUUGAAUACUUGUCUAAUUGAAAGGUAAUGGGUAAAAGGUUUUUAAAACUUUAAAUAUUUUUGUGAAUUUUUGAGCAGCAGCCAAAUUCCAAGAUUCUCAACAAUUUUUGAGCCAAUCCCAAAGGAGAUUUAGUUUACUAUACACAUGCCACUUCUUAAUAAUUAAGAUCUACAUAAAUGACUUUUAAUUUUGUAUGAUGAUCUCUUCCUCUUUGGAACAGAUACUCAAAUUUUAUUCAUCGUGACUGUGUUGAUCAAAACCGAUAUUAAUCAAUCUUGUAUUCAAGUACACUCAACCAAUUCUGUUUUCUUACAGAAUUGUUCAGAAAUAAAGAACUGUAAUUACCUCCAAAAUCAAACAAAUAAUAACCAAUAUGUUAUAUUUUUUAAUUGGUUUUUUUCCCCUUCAAAUAAUGGAGUCCAUAGUGCAGUUUUGACUGGCACAUGUACUAAGAUAUGAAAGUUAAUGUACAAAAUGGAAGAAUAAUAAAAUCAUGUCCGAAAUUAUUAAUUCUCAGGUGCAACCUAAAUUUAGAUGUAUCUUAAUUCUUAAAAGGAGAAAAAAAAAAAGAGUCAAUCAUUGUUAGAGCUUCAAGAGCUUUGAGAUCUUAUUGGUUUAUUUUAUUAUUAGUAUUUGGCGUUUUUCGCUUUCAGGAUAGUCGCAACAAAUAGAUUCUUGAAAGAGCGGUGCUAUUGGCACCUUCUUAAAACUCAAUUGAAACCCCAUUUUCAUGUUUAUAGCUUUAUUCUUAGUUAAAAUUACACAAAAGGACAAAAGAAAUUUAAUUAAAAUUUAAUUUUCUUUUCUUUUUGUUACUAAUUCUUCAAACCCAAUAAAUUACUUUAUUGGGAUUUUUGUUAUUUUUGCCUUUAAUUUCUUUUUUUUUUGUAAGUAAAAUAAGUGCCCACUUGGUGAAGAAAAUCCAAUAAUUUGAUAAAAAUCUAAUAAAUUUCUUGGACCUUUUUUUCUUAAUUAUUUCCAAAAUCAUUUUGGAACUAAAAAAAAUUGAAUCCCAUAUACAUUAGAUACUGAAAAUAAAGAGUUUAUGAUGUGUGGGUAUGAACUGCGAAGAGUUAAAAAGAAAAUACGUACAUGGAUUGGGGUUUAAUAAUUUUGUAUUUGUAGUUUUAUGUAAUUUUCUCUGGUGAAAGAGCUGUUAAUGAAAACGGGGUUUCAUAAGAAUAACGAGGGGGUGCCAAUAGUAUUACUCUUCUUGAAAAUCAUAUGAGAAAGACAAAUAGCCCAAAAACAAAGUGCCUGUAUCUUUAAAUUUAUUAUAGAGUAGUAAUUUUUAUUUUUUUUUUAAAAAUUGCUCUACCUUUUUUUUUUCAAAACCUUAACUAAAAUAUUAAAAUUGUGAAAAUUAGGAAUCUGGUCAGGAUGAUAUUCUGAGUCCCAUUUUCAUUUUCAUUUAUUGAAAAUAAGUUGAACAACUGUUCGGUAUAAUGUUCUAAUAAAAUGAAUUAUGAAAUAAAAAAUACAGAUUUUACUUUUGUUUACUCAAAAAGUUGAAGAACGACAUUUUUAUGGUUUUAUUGAAUUUCAAGAAUGGAAGCCAUUCUCUCAUCUUUAUCUUAUAUUAGCGUCCAUGGUAAUUAAAAUGGUUUUUGUAUCAAAUUGAUAAGAUUGAAACAUCUAAUGCUACAAUGGCUUUUGUGAUUAUUUUAAAUUUGAAGUUAAAAUUUGAUAAAACUAAUAAGUUUUAUUGAGCAGAAGAUGAGUGGAAGGACUUUUUCUAUGAUAUUUAGCCGAACAAAAAGAUAAAAUAAAAUGUUCAAGGACUUUAAAAAAAUGUCGUCAUAUUUUGCUUGUACCAAUGAAACAGUAGUUGUGAAAAAGGAUUAAAAUAAUAUUUUCAAAUGAGAUUUUUCUCUAUACCUUAUCAUACCUUUUAUUUGAAUAUCUUUCUUCGUAUAUAAAUUUAUGAUUACAUUUAUCAGAUGCUCUAUAAUAUAUUUCAUUUACUGAAAAUUUUUAUUAUUAAAUGUAAUGAACAAUUUAAUCUUUUUAUAAGUGUUUACUGUGUGAUACCAAAAAAUAAAUAAACUCUAAAUAAUCCAUUGACAUAAAUAUAAACUAUAUGUUUAAGUUAAAAAAAAAAGUUUCAAUCCAAUGCUACCGAACAAGUAUUACAGUUUUUUUAUUUAAAAUAUAAGUUUCAAAAACUCAUACUGAACACAUACUUAUAUUUAGAAUACUAGUUUCAAAAACAUCAUUUUUAUUUUUGUUUUUGUUCUAUAAAAACAUCAAUUGACAAUAAUAAAGACAAAGAAUUGAAAAUUUUAAUAAGAAUUAAUCUAACUACUCUCUUUAAAAGGAAAAAAAAAAGAAAAAAGAAAAAAGAAAAUAUCUAACUACACUCACUUUCUAAAAAUAUUAAUACAUAUAAUUACACUAAAACCCCUAUACAUUUUUAUUUUACCAAAUAAUUAUGUGAUUAAUAUUUAUUUAUAAAAUAUAACAAUUAUGUGAUUAAUAUAAUAUUAAUUUUAUAAUCUCAACUCAAUGGUCAUAUCAAGAGCAUAUUUAAUUAUUUUAUUUUUAAUCUACAAUUGAGAUGUCACACCAUGGAGUUAAAGCGGUUGUUAUCAUUUUGUUUUCUGAUUUAAUUUCUAUUUUAAAAAUAAUUUGAGACCCCGUGAGCAUUCAACGAAUGAUUUGCGAGUUUGGAGGAGUCCAUGCAUAUGGGGCCCACUGGUCGUUUGAUGAUUGAUUAUGUCACAUGAUUCCUGCCACAUACGAUUAUUAUCCACCCUUUAUCUCUUUUUUUUUUUUCUUUAAUAAAUAACCCUCUUUACUCAUUUCACUUCCAAAUUCAUGUUCAUGCCCUUACACUAUUGAUUUAUCUAUUUUUUAUUUUACAUUUUUUUUUACUCUUCCUCAUGUUAUUGUCCCUUUCUUUUUCCUUAGCAGUAAUGUUCCCAAAUUUAAUCGAGAAACAAAGAUAUAAAUGAUAGAACUUAUUAGUUUGAUAAUUUAUAAACUCGCAAUAGAUGAUACUCAUUUUCAUUCCUAGAUAAAUGCAAUACGGCCGUGUAUAAAAUACGUCGAGAUUUGGGAAAAACGUGGCCCUAAGGCCUUUUUAGUAAGAUUAGGGAUUUCACUGAAAUUUAAUUCCUUUAAAAUGUGAAGUUUACGUUUUGCACCCUUUGAAUUUACAGUUUCUUAUUUAUGGCAUCUCAAUUUGGCUUCUCUCGAAUAUGGUCCACGUUAAACCAAAAUUAUAAUUGCACCACUAAAUAUGACAGUACUGGAAAACUAUUUGAAGUGGAAAGUUAGUGAGUUUCUAUUUUUUUUUAAGGAUAUAUUUUAAGUAUUAUAUAGAUAAAAAUUAACUAUCUACCUAAGUAACCAAGCGAGCAAUUUAAACUUUAGACCUCUUUUACAUCAACGGAUUAUGUUUGGCAGACUCAAUUUGUCAAUAACUAGAUAUAUGUUACGACAGACUCAAUUUGGGGCAGAUUCUAAGGUAAGGAAAUUGAAAAUGCCUAUUUUCGAAGGUGAGGAUGCCUAUGGAUGGGUGUAUAGGGUAGAGCGCUAUUUCGCCAUCAAUGGACUCUAAGAAAGGGAAAAAUUGAUGGCGGCGGCGUUAUGUUUGGAGGGAAAGGCCCUUGCGCAGUUUCAAUGGUGAGAACAACGAAAACCGUUGAGGUCAUGGGAUGAGUCUAAAGAUCGGCUAUUGGAGAGGUUUCAGGGCACUCAAGAGGGAGAUUUGCAUGAACAAUUUUUUACUUUGACCCAGGAUAGAAUGGUUAUGGAGUAUAAGGAGAAGUUUGAGUUACUAUUAGGGCGUUUAUGGGGAAUUCCAGAGGCGGUAUUGGAAGGAAAUUUUAUGAAGGGACUGAAGCCAGAAAUCCGAGCCUCGCUACGCUUGCUAAGGUCGAGAGGGUUAGGGGAGUCAAUGGAGUUGGCACAAUUGGUUGAGGAUAAGAGCACGAUAGAACGGGUUAAUAGGAGCAAUUCAGUCAAUUUUUCAUACCAAAACAACACGCCAUUGGUAGGACAGAAAACCCAGACUUUGGGGUUCCAGCGAGAGUUCCAAAGUACACCACUAGGAGGCCAGAAAAUGCAAAUGGUGGAUUUAUAGAGAGAUUCCCAAAGGGAUUGGGAUAGUGGGGCACGACUGGGGGUGACUUUCGAACGCCUCAUGGAGACAGAGAUUCAGGAUAAGAGGGCGAAGGGGUUGUGCUUUCGAUGUGAUGAGAAAUUUUCACCAGGGCAUCGAUGUAAGGAUAAAUCACUACAAGUCCUGACUGUGUGUGAUGAGGAAGAAGGCUAGAAAGAAGCUGAAGAAGAAGACGCAGUAAUUUCCUAGAUUUCACCUUGAGGACAAUGUGUCUUUUUGGGAGGAGAGUAAUGUUUGACCAAUGAAAAUUUAAAUGCAAUUAUAAAGAGGCAAGGGCACUUUAGUAAUCUUAGAGACGGAGACAGUUUAAUAAUUUUAUUAUUAAUUAGGGUUUAAAUAUAAAUAAAAAAUUAUGGAGUCACUUAGAAUUUAUUAGUGUUGUUUUGGUGCAUAAUUGAUUUUGAUACCAUUACGCCCUAUUAUUCCUUUGUUCAGCACGGAGUAAUUUUGUUUUCAUCCACACUUUGAUUGAAGCUCUGCCGGCGAAAGUGCUGACUACUAUUGCACGGACCUACGCUAUCUUUGACAACUUAAGACAUUUAUCCUAGGACAAUGUGACCUAUAGUGGCUGACAAAUGCCUGCUUUAUUUAAUUCUCAAGCACCUGUCAUCUGAGCAAUGUUAAAUCAAUUAAUUGUGCCUUUUUUAUUACCACAUAUCUUCUUUGGCCUUGAACCAUUCAUUUUUGCCAAGGGUUGACUCUUUUUCCUCAUGGUGAGCUGAAGCUGUAUACUGCUUUUGUGGAAUCUUGGCAUCCAACACUAAAUUAAGAUUUCAGCCUUCAAACUUAUAAUGCAAGAUAUUAGAUAGUGUUUGGGUGGCUCCUGAAUAGUGCCAAAAAGAAUGAGUCUUGGCCACCAUUGCUGAAUUUUGUUUAACCUUUAACACAAUGAUGACUUCAUCUUGCUACAUUUACAUAUAACAGAUUUCAUUAUCUUCUUAGGAUUUACUGGAGGGUCUGAAUCAACUGGAAGAAGGUUUGAAGGAUAAUACUAAGAGAUUGAGUUCUUUCGACAAGUACAUGCAAGAAGUCCUCCUUGGCCAUCUCGACUGGUCCCCCAUGCACAAAGAUUCCCUAUUCUGGGGUGAUAAUAUCACAAACUUUGAAGAAAAUGAUUUCCAGGUAUUUCUUUUCCCCAUGGACGGUGUUUCUAGUUUUUAUUUUUCAUUUUUUCUGCUUUAACCGCACUGAAUGACCCUGCUAAUAUCUGUAUCGUCUCGUUCAGCAUCAUUUUGUAUAAAUACCUACAAAGUUUCUGUAAUACUAAUGGAUAAUCUUCUCUCUCAGAUUCUAAGGGUCCUCUUAACAAUUUUGGAUACAUCCAGUGAUCCACGAGCUCUUGCUGUCGCUUGCUUUGAUCUCUCACAGUUUAUCCAGUACCAUCCAGCUGGGCGGGUCAUUGUGACAGACCUCAAAGCCAAGGAACGGGUGAUGAAAUUGAUGAACCAUGAGAAUACCGAGGUUACCAAGAGCGCCUUACUCUGCAUCCAAAGGCUUUUCCUAGGCGCAAAGUACGCGAGCUUUUUGCAGGCCUGAAUUCUCUUUCUAUGGGGUCCAGUAUUGUUUACAAAGGAAAUGCUUGUAAUGAUUUGAUUCCAGUUUGGCUGGUUAGGUUGUUUAUUUAUUUAUCAAUCAUUGGAGGAAUUUAUGAAUCAGGGGAACUCGUCUGUUGGAUUUUUUUAAGUACUGUGAAGAAUUAGUUGAUUUUUUACCAUAUUUUGGAAAUUUAUUUUGUUUGUGAGAUGAGGAAUAAAUUGAUACCAUCUGUACUGACCUUUGAUAUGAAAACUACUCGAGCGCAUGACAUAUAUCUGUUUUUGUUCAUUUCUGUAUCUUGCUGCUGAC